Molecule: RNase P RNA, 367 nt
Filed under: Gammaproteobacteria bacterium
Lineage: Bacteria; Pseudomonadati; Pseudomonadota; Gammaproteobacteria
Description: RNase P RNA component class A
Rfam family: Bacterial RNase P class A
About the family: Ribonuclease P (RNase P) is a ubiquitous endoribonuclease, found in archaea, bacteria and eukarya as well as chloroplasts and mitochondria. Its best characterised activity is the generation of mature 5'-ends of tRNAs by cleaving the 5'-leader elements of precursor-tRNAs.
Source: RNAcentral
CGAGUCAGCCGGGCAAUUGCUGCAACCCGACCUCUCUGAGGCAGGGCUUGAUCAAGAGGAAAGUCCGGGCUCCACAAGGCAACAGUGCCGGGUAAUACCCGGCGGAGGCAACUCUAGGGAAAGUGCCGCAGAAAAUAAACCGCCCUAAUUGAAAUUUUAAGGGUAAGGGUGAAAAGGUGAGGUAAGAGCUCACCGCUUUUUUGGUAACAAAAAAGGCAUGGUAAACCCCACUGGGAGCAAGACCAAAUAGAGAUCUUUUGGCGUUACCCGCGCCGGAUCAGGGUAGGUCGCUUGAGAUUAUUGGUGACAAUGAUCCUAGAUGAAUGACUGUCCUCGACAGAACCCGGCUUACAGGCUGACUCGCUUU